AGCGUACCGGAAGGUGUGCUUGGAAA
This 26-nucleotide ribosomal RNA is filed under the name Ischnocnema sp. 3 CC-2012. Its description in RNAcentral is "partial 12S ribosomal RNA". The record is from RNAcentral. Lineage: Eukaryota; Metazoa; Chordata; Amphibia; Anura; Brachycephalidae.